GGAGAGAUGGCAGAGCGGACGAAUGCGCCGCACUCGAAAUGCGGUAUGGGGCAACCCAUCGUGGGUUCGAAUCCCACUCUCUCCACCA
This 88-nucleotide transfer RNA is filed under the name Chloroflexota bacterium. RNAcentral's name for it is "Chloroflexi bacterium tRNA-Ser". It matches the Rfam family "tRNA". From Rfam's summary of the family: Transfer RNA (tRNA) molecules are approximately 80 nucleotides in length. Their secondary structure includes four short double-helical elements and three loops (D, anti-codon, and T loops). The record is from RNAcentral. Lineage: Bacteria; Bacillati; Chloroflexota.